GACGAACGCUGGCGGCGCGCUUAACACAUGCAAGUCGAGCGAUGAAAUUUCGACAGAUCCCUUCGGGGUGAAGAUGAAAUGGAUUAGCGGCGGACGGGUGAGUAACACGUGAGUAACCUGCCUUUGACAUUGGGAUAGCCUCGGGAAACUGGGAUUAAUACCAAAUGACACUAACUGAUCACAUGAUCAAUUAGUCAAAGAAAUUCGGUCAAAGAUGGACUCGCGGCUGAUUAGCUAGUUGGUGAGGUAACGGCCCACCAAGGCGACGAUCAGUAGCCGGGCUGAGAGGGUGAUCGGCCACAUUGGAACUGAGACACGGUCCAAACUCCUACGGGAGGCAGCAGUGGGGAAUAUUGCACAAUGGGGGAAACCCUGAUGCAGCGACGCCGCGUGAGCGAAGAAGGCCUUCGGGUCGUAAAGCUCUUUUAUGAGGGAAGAUAAUGACGGUACCUCAAGAAAAAGCCCCGGCUAACUACGUG
RNAcentral lists this ribosomal RNA (479 nucleotides) under uncultured bacterium. RNAcentral's name for it is "partial 16S ribosomal RNA". It matches the Rfam family "Bacterial small subunit ribosomal RNA", at positions 28 to 507 of the family's 1533-position model. The record is from RNAcentral.